This 447-nucleotide ribosomal RNA is filed under the name uncultured bacterium. RNAcentral's name for it is "partial 16S ribosomal RNA". It matches the Rfam family "Bacterial small subunit ribosomal RNA", at positions 29 to 523 of the family's 1533-position model. The record is from RNAcentral.
AACGAACGCUGGCGGCAGGCUUAACACAUGCAAGUCGAACGCUCCGCAAGGAGAGUGGCAGACGGGUGAGUAACACGUGGGAACGUACCCUUUACUACGGAACAACUCCGGGAAACUGGAGCUAAUACCGUAUGUGCCCUUUGGGGGAAAGAUUUAUCGGUAAAGGAUCGGCCCGCGUUGGAUUAGCGAGUUGGUGGGGUAAAGGCCUACCAAGGAGACGAUCCAUAGCUGGUCUGAGAGUAUGAGCCGCCACAUUGGGACUGAGACACGGCCCAAACUCCUACGGGAGGCAGCAGUGGGGAAUAUUGGACAAUGGGCGCAAGCCUGAUCCAGCCAUGCCGCGUGUGUGAUGAAGGCCUUAGGGUUGUAAAGCACUUUCACCGGAGAAGAUAAUGACGGUAUCCGGAGAAGAAGCCCCGGCUAACUUCGUGCCAGCAGCCGCCGUAA